GCAUUCUUGGUCCAACGGUAGGAUAAUUGCCUUCCAAGCAAUUGGCCCGGGUUCAACUCCCGGAGGAUGCA
This 71-nucleotide transfer RNA is filed under the name Pyrenophora teres f. maculata. RNAcentral describes it as "tRNA-Gly". It matches the Rfam family "tRNA". From Rfam's summary of the family: Transfer RNA (tRNA) molecules are approximately 80 nucleotides in length. Their secondary structure includes four short double-helical elements and three loops (D, anti-codon, and T loops). The record is from RNAcentral. RNAcentral also lists the same sequence under 1 other name. Lineage: Eukaryota; Fungi; Ascomycota; Dothideomycetes; Pleosporales; Pleosporaceae.